Molecule: non-coding RNA, 21 nt
Filed under: Arabidopsis thaliana (thale cress)
Lineage: Eukaryota; Viridiplantae; Streptophyta; Magnoliopsida; Brassicales; Brassicaceae
Source: RNAcentral
CCAAACCCGUCCUACCAUCUA